UACGGAGGAUGCAAGCGUUAUCCGGAAUGAUUGGGCGUAAAGCGUCCGCAGGUGGCGAUGUAAGUCUGCUGUUAAAGAGUCUAGCUCAACUAGAUAAGAGCAGCGGAAACUACAUAGCUAGAGUACGUUCGGGGCAGAGGGAAUUCCUGGUGUAGCGGUGAAAUGCGUAGAGAUCAGGAAGAACACCAGUGGCGAAGGCGCUCUGCUAGGCCGUAACUGACACUGAGGGACGAAAGCUAGGGGAGCGAAUGGG
Molecule: ribosomal RNA, 253 nt
Filed under: uncultured bacterium
Lineage: Bacteria
Description: partial 16S ribosomal RNA
Rfam family: Bacterial small subunit ribosomal RNA
Source: RNAcentral